UACGUAGGGGGCGAGCGUUGUCCGGAUUUAUUGGGCGUAAAGAGCUCGUAGGCGGCGCGGUAAGUCGGGUGUGAAAUCUCGGAGCUUAACUCCGAAACUGCAUUCGAUACUGCCGUGCUUGAGGACUGGAGAGGAGACUGGAAUUUACGGUGUAGCGGUGAAAUGCGUAGAUAUCGUAAGGAAGACCAGUGGCGAAGGCGGGUCUCUGGACAGUUCCUGACGCUGAGGCACGAAGGUCAGGGGAGCAAACGGG
This 253-nucleotide ribosomal RNA is filed under the name uncultured bacterium. Its description in RNAcentral is "partial 16S ribosomal RNA". It matches the Rfam family "Bacterial small subunit ribosomal RNA", at positions 524 to 776 of the family's 1533-position model. The record is from RNAcentral.